RNAcentral lists this ribosomal RNA (755 nucleotides) under bacterium. Its description in RNAcentral is "bacterial SSU rRNA". It matches the Rfam family "Bacterial small subunit ribosomal RNA", at positions 57 to 801 of the family's 1533-position model. The record is from RNAcentral.
GCAGUCGAGCGGAACGAUGGGAGCUUGCUCUCAGGCGUCGAGCGGCGGACGGGUGAGUAAUGCCUAGGAAUCUGCCUAGUAGUGGGGGAUAACGUUCGGAAACGGACGCUAAUACCGCAUACGUCCUACGGGAGAAAGUGGGGGAUCUUCGGACCUCACGCUAUUAGAUGAGCCUAGGUCGGAUUAGCUAGUUGGUGAGGUAAUGGCUCACCAAGGCGACGAUCCGUAACUGGUCUGAGAGGAUGAUCAGUCACACUGGAACUGAGACACGGUCCAGACUCCUACGGGAGGCAGCAGUGGGGAAUAUUGGACAAUGGGCGAAAGCCUGAUCCAGCCAUGCCGCGUGUGUGAAGAAGGUCUUCGGAUUGUAAAGCACUUUAAGUUGGGAGGAAGGGCAGUAAGUUAAUACCUUGCUGUUUUGACGUUACCGACAGAAUAAGCACCGGCUAACUCUGUGCCAGCAGCCGCGGUAAUACAGAGGGUGCAAGCGUUAAUCGGAAUUACUGGGCGUAAAGCGCGCGUAGGCGGUUUGUUAAGUUGGAUGUGAAAGCCCCGGGCUCAACCUGGGAACUGCAUCCAAAACUGGCAAGCUAGAGUACAGUAGAGGGUGGUGGAAAUUUCCUGUGUAGCGGUGAAAUGCGUAGAUAUAGGAAGGAACACCAGUGGCCGAAGGCGACCACCUGGACUGAUACUGACGCUGAAGGUGCGAAAGCGUGGGGAAGCAAACAGGAUUAGAUACCCUGGUAGUCCACGCC